RNAcentral lists this ribosomal RNA (572 nucleotides) under uncultured bacterium. RNAcentral's name for it is "partial 16S ribosomal RNA". It matches the Rfam family "Bacterial small subunit ribosomal RNA", at positions 355 to 914 of the family's 1533-position model. The record is from RNAcentral.
UGGGGAAUAUUGCACAAUGGGCGCAAGCCUGAUGCAGCCAUGCCGCGUGUGUGAAGAGGGCCUUCGGGUUGUAAAGCACUUUCAGCGAGGAGGAAGGUGGUGAGCUUAAUACGCUCAUCAAUUGACGUUACUCGCAGAAGAAGCACCGGCUAACUCCGUGCCAGCAGCCGCGGUAAUACGGAGGGUGCAAGCGUUAAUCGGAAUUACUGGGCGUAAAGCGCACGCAGGCGGUUUGUUAAGUCAGAUGUGAAAUCCCCGGGCUCAACCUGGGAACUGCAUUUGAAACUGGCAAGCUAGAGUCUCGUAGAGGGGGGUAGAAAUUUCCAGGUGUAGCGGUGAAAUGCGUAGAGAUCUGGAGGAAUACCGGUGGCGAAGGCGGCCCCCCUGGACGAAGACUGACGCUCAGGUGCGAAAGCGUGGGGCAGCAAACAAGAUUAGAUACCCUGGUAGUCCAGCGCUGUAAACGAUGUCGAUUUGGAGGUUGUGCCCUUGAGGCGUGGCUUCCGGAGCUAACGCGUUAAAUCGACCGCCUGGGGAGUACGGCCGCAAGGUUAAAACUUAAAUGAAUUGAC